RNAcentral lists this ribosomal RNA (929 nucleotides) under uncultured bacterium. RNAcentral describes it as "bacterial SSU rRNA". It matches the Rfam family "Bacterial small subunit ribosomal RNA", at positions 1 to 916 of the family's 1533-position model. The record is from RNAcentral. RNAcentral also lists the same sequence under 1 other name.
GGUCCAGACUUUGAUCCUGGCUCAGGAUGAACGCUGGCGGCGCAUUUAAGACAUGCAAGUCGAACGAAAAUUUACGCUUAAAGAGUUGAUUAGUUUACUAAGAGAUGAUUUAUUGUAAAUUUUAGUGGCGGACUGGUGAGUAAUACAUAGGUAAUCUGCCUUUUAGAGGGGAAUAACUAGGAGAAAUCCUAGCUAAUACCGCGUAAGACCACACUUAGGCAUCUAAGAGAGGUCAAAGGAGUAAUCCGCUAAAAGAUGAGCCUGUGGCUGAUUAGUUAGUUGGUGGGGUAAGAGCCUACCAAGACGAUGAUCAGUAGCCGAGCUGAGAGGCUGGCCGGCCACAUUGGGACUGAGAUACGGCCCAGGCUCCUACGGGAGGCAGCAGUUGGGAAUAUUGGACAAUGGAGGAAACUCUGAUCCAGUGACGCCGCGUGAAGGAAGAAGGUCUUCGGAUUGUAAACUUAUUUUAUCAGGGAAGAAGAAAGUGACAGUACCUGAAGAAAAAGGACCGGCAAACUACGUGCCAGCAGCCGCGGUAAUACGUAGGGUCCAAGCGUUAUCCGGAUUUACUGGGUGUAAAGGGCGAGUAGACGGCGCUGUAAGUCAGCUGUGAAAACUUAGGGCUCAACCUUAAGCCUGCAGCUGAAACUGUAGUGCUAGAGUGCAGGAGAGGUAAGCGGAAUUCCUAGUGUAGCGGUGAAAUGCGUAGAUAUUAGGAGGAACACCAGUGGCGAAGGCGGCUUACUGGACUGUAACUGACGUUGAGGCGCGAAAGUGUGGGGAGCAAACAGGAUUAGAUACCCUGGUAGUCCACACCGUAAACGAUGGAUACUAGGUGUAGGCGAGAUAUCGUCUGUGCCGGCGCAAACGCAAUAAGUAUCCCACCUGGGGAGUACGGCCGCAAGGUUGCAACUCAAAUGAAUUGACGG